GACGAACCGUGCAAACGUUGUUCGGAAUCACUGGGCUUAAAGGGCGCGUAGGCGGGUGGUCAAGUCAGGGGUGAAAUCUUUCGGCUCAACCGGAAAACAGCCUCUGAUACUGACCGUCUUGAGCGAGGUAGGGGCAUGUGGAACUUCCGGUGGAGCGGUGAAAUGCGUUGAUAUCGGAAGGAACGCCGGUGGCGAAAGCGACGUGCUGGACCUCUUCUGACGCUGAGGCGCGAAAGCCAGGGGAGCGAACGGG
RNAcentral lists this ribosomal RNA (253 nucleotides) under uncultured bacterium. RNAcentral's name for it is "partial 16S ribosomal RNA". It matches the Rfam family "Bacterial small subunit ribosomal RNA", at positions 524 to 776 of the family's 1533-position model. The record is from RNAcentral.